GGUUUCUCUGUGUAGCCCUGGCUGUCCUGGAACUCACUCUGUAGACCAGGCUGGCCUUGAACUCACAGAGAUCCACCUGCCUCUGCCUCCCGAGUGCUGGGAUUAAAGGCGUGCGCCACCACUGC
Molecule: microRNA precursor, 125 nt
Organism: Cricetulus griseus (Chinese hamster)
Lineage: Eukaryota; Metazoa; Chordata; Mammalia; Rodentia; Cricetidae
Source: Ensembl